This 1401-nucleotide long non-coding RNA is filed under the name Solanum pimpinellifolium. RNAcentral describes it as "long non-coding RNA (SPIM_LNC000243)". Lineage: Eukaryota; Viridiplantae; Streptophyta; Magnoliopsida; Solanales; Solanaceae. The record is from RNAcentral.
CUUGAUUACCUAUGUCGGUUGCCUUAAGCUUUCAGUUCUGCACAAAGCGCAGCCGCAGGAGAAAGGCCUACUGGAAUCUCGUUGAGGUCUGGAAGCGCAGGCCGUACGUGGACGUUACCGCUCAUACAGCUCCCAGCCAGCAAGCAGUUAGCCUUCCUCUACAAGGANCCAUUUAUAUUGGCGGGAUAAUUUAUGGAAGAAUAGCUAAUCGUAAAAUAACUAAUUUUGUGAUAAGUUAUUUUCAAUCAAAUAAUGCUUUAAUCUUUAAUUUAUUUUAUUAUUAUAUUUUUUAAAAUAUUUAUUUUAUUAUAUUUAAAGAGCAAUUUGAUAAAAUUAUUUCUUAUCAUUUACGUAUCGAGUUAAUAAAGAACAAAUAAAGAUGGAUGAAAAAUGACUUUUUCUUAUUGAAAAUAAAUAAACAUACCCCUCUACAACAACAACAUACCCAGUAAAAUUUCACAAGUGAGAUUUGGGGAGGGUAGGAUGUACGCAGACCUUACCACUACCUAAGUAGAGAGUCUGUUUCCUGGGAACCCUCAUCUCAAAAACCCAUCUCAACAUACCCCUCUAUAUUUUUAAAAUCUAAAAAUAUCUUUAUCUUUAAAUUUAAUAGGUUGGUGUCUGGCCGUGAGUAUAGUAGGGUAAUAAGAGUUGGUCAAUGUUAUUUUUAUUUGUUUUAUAUUUGUUAAUUGUCUCCUAUUUGCUUGCUAUCAUGUAUUUUUUUGUUAUUUGUCACUCUUUUUGUUCACGUUCUCUUUCUCUUCAUUUUCUAUUUUUCAUGUCUAAUUUAUUCAGCUUAUGAAUUUUUAUAACAAGGAUUUUUAAAAAGUAUUCUCUCUAACUCUAUAUGAGGUAAUGAUAAAAUUUGCAUAUAUUCUAUAUUGCUACUGUAAAAUAUCUUUAAAUUAUUAAAAAUAACAUAAAAAGAUCAUUGUUGUAGCAAAUUAGCCUCCUAAAAGAAAGGGUCCAUCUACAUCUCACCACCAUCAUUUUGACAUAAAAUUUGGUAUUUGGUGCUUAAGCCCAAUAUAUUAUUCAUCACAUUAAUUUAUUUUUUAAAUAUUUUAAUAUUAUUUUGUUAUACAAAUUUUUUUAAUUAAUAUUAGAUUAAUUGUAUAGGUUUUGAUUGAAUUGCUGCUUGAUUACCUAUGUCGGUUGCCUUAAGCUUUCAGUUCUGCACAAAGCGCAGCCGCAGGAGAAAGGCCUACUGGAAUCUCGUUGAGGUCUGGAAGCGCAGGCCGUACGUGGACGUUACCGCUCAUACAGCUCCCAGCCAGCAAGCAGUUAGCCUUCCUCUACAAGGAAUGGAAGUGUGGAUGAAUCGACAUCAAAUAUAGGAUUGUUGUUGUACACGAUCUCCAUUUUAGUAGUCCUAGCUAUCCACUCCACUAUGUGGUAGAG